Molecule: long non-coding RNA, 3590 nt
Organism: Struthio camelus australis
Lineage: Eukaryota; Metazoa; Chordata; Aves; Struthioniformes; Struthionidae
Source: RefSeq, a predicted model, not a curated record
CAGGUUCAGGCCCUGACCCUUCAGAUGGGACUCCACAGCCUGCACCGCCCCUUGGAUGCUGGGCAAGCUCACUGUGUCUGCCAGAGUGAAAAAGGAUGUGGAGGAGAGCUCUGAUAGCUUCCACAACUGUGGGAGCUGGGUACUGCCUGGCAUCCUGCCCCGUUGUGGGGCAGCAGUCCCUACCUCCCCGCUGGUGUCACACUCCUCGUUGGCUGCCCAACAUAACUCACUUCUUCCUACCUUCAAUUUGGAGUACCAGAAUAACCCUGAAUACCCCAUCACCCCCUUGCGUGCCCUCAGAAAAAAUGGCUGUGGUUGGAAUGGCUCUUUUUAAACAAGUAUGAUCCAAAAAGGAAGGACUGGUUUGAACAGAUCAGGGUGCUAAACACAUCAAAAGGAGCAGAGGCUUGUCCUCACUUAUUGGUUUCACCCAGAAGCCUUGUCUUCACAGAAUUAGCUGGAUUAAAGUUUACAGUGCAUCCCUUGGGAGGAAUCCCUUGGGAGGAUGCCUAGCUGAGUUUAUCGGUAUAUCCUUACUGCUUGGAUGCUUUAACAAGACAUAUUUUCACUUCAAGUGGGACGAAUUUUUUACUGUAAAGCAACACAUUUUUUAUGAAUGUUCAUUCUUUCAUAUCCAACGUUUCAAACUGCUAUCCAGCUCUUUUUUAAUGACACAGGCGACUACUCUUAAGAGGAGCUUAACUACAUUUGCUUUAUAUAUUCAAGGAAUUUACUACUGCACAGGGUUUAUUUUACAGCAGAUUCUUGGUCCUUACACAUUGAGGCUGCCAGAUUUAUUUCUGCCACUAGAAACCAACCCCAGUUGGAUGUACAUAUUUCAAUGGUAGAUAUCAUCUUUCAGAAAGUGAUAUAACUGUGCUCUAGAGUCCUUCUGUACUGCGCAGCAGCUAUAGGGGCUGCUAAUGUCUGAUAGAUAGAUUCAUUUUAUCUUUGAAUUACACGAAGAUACAGAUACAGAUCUGGCUGACAUCUUUUUUCCUUUCUAGCAAUCUGUGCUUAAACUGAUCUUCCACAACACAAUUUCCCAUAGUUUUGCAGCUGUUUCACUGGCAGUGAAGUAGUGUGUGCUCUUAAAAUGCUUGGGAAAUCCUUCAUUUCUUGCUUUCCUUUUUUGUUUCACUGUUUUUGUUUCACAUUGUUACCAGUAAGGAUUUUGAGCUGGCAGGUAAGCAAAAAAGUGAGCACAAGUAAUAAAAAAUGUGGGGUAUAAUUCAGUAUUUGUUUACAGACUCUGAUCUGGACCUCCUCCAUUUUGCAGAUGCUCUAGCCCAGGGGUGUGGGGAUAAACCUUUCCAAGGAUCUAGGAACUACUGACUUUUCUGAAAUCCUGGUAAUGGGUGUAAGCAAUUCCAGUUUCUUUUUCUUUGCUUACCUGCUUGGAUCUCCUUGGAAAGCUGUUAGGCUUUAAUUGGCAUUUUUGGCUAAACCAAUAGGUGCAGUAUUUUUUAGGUUUGUGUUCAGCUUUUGCUUGUUAAAAACUGCAUCACUUAACUGGUGGUUGCCCCAUUGAACUGUCCAUUGUUCAUUUGCCUUGCAGAUCUGCCUUGCAGAUCUAAAAGGGGCCAGUUAGGCUAAUAUCAAACUUUUUAUACUGUCUUUUUUGUAUCAAAAGGAUACCACCAAGCCCAAAAGACACAGGAAUAUUCAUUUGUAUGGGGAUGUUAGUGUGCCUUUGCUCUCUGAUCACAAUUCACUGUGCACACAUUUCUGCAUACAUUUUCACAAGUGUUUAUUUGAUGAGCCUGCUUUGGGAGGAUUUAGGGAGCUUUUUUUGCAACAUUUUGGCCCCCAAGUUGUGUUACUGGUCUCAUGCUUUACACAAGAUUGAGUUAACAAAGGCUGGAAAAGUUAAAGGCAACCUGCUGUUCCCCUGCUGGACUAUUUUUUACACCAAUGAACAGCAGGACAAUCCUUUUUCCUGCUAUUUUUAACGAGCCCAGUGGCUUUAUGGUGGUAGGCAAAACUCAAGUCUUCCUUUAAAGCAUUUGAGUGGCCUGGGACUUGUAUCACCUUGCCUCAUGCAGCACAGGACUUCAUAAAGCUGUGAUGAAAACAAUUAGGGAGAAUUUGAUGAGGGAAUUUGUUGUGGGCCUGACCUAUGUGAAUUAAGUACCCAUAGGGCAGCACAGGUCUUUAUAAGACUACUGUUGCUGUUGCCUUCUAAAAUCAGUGGCUAUUUCUCAACACCUGGCUGAUUGUGAAAUGUGAGCAAGGCUUUCCUUUAUGCUAAGGCGCUUGGACCCAGCACGAGAGCGUGGGCACGCUGAGGUGCUGCUCAGCUUGGGAAUGACUUUGCUAGAAGUCCAAAUCCUUUCCCCAGCUGACUCAUCCACACACCCAAAACACAUUAUCAGUGGCUUUGGAGAGUGCAGCCUGUCAGGCAUGUAGCUUCACCUCAGGAUUCAAGAAGGCACGUUUGACUGGGUACAGCACAUUUCACAGUGUGCACUUUUGUGACCUUUUUUUGGAUAAUGAAUUAACUGAGUUCCAGGCUUUGUCACUCCACCAUACAUGAGGGAACUUUCACCAGCUUUGGUAAAUGAUUAAUUUCUUUGGACUAGCUGAGUCAUUGCAACAAGGAGAAGUCAUAGCAUGCUUAUUGGUAGUACUUUGAGACCCAAAGCAGUUGCAUAGCAGAGCGCACACUUGCCUUCCCACGUGCCAGCAGUCUCGCGUGCUGGCUGGGCAUGGGAUGAGAGCCAAGUAUGUGGGAUGAGCUCAUUUAUUUUGCUACAAUUUUUCAUCAAAAAUUUUCAUUUUUGCUUACUUUGGGUCUUGGCUCUCUUUUGGAGUGUAUGUGUUUUAGUAAAGGCUUCACUGGUCAGUGUAUUCAGUGUAUUCAGUGGUCAGCCCCUUGAGAUGUCCCUUUUAUGCCGGUUGUGCUUUGGAGAGCAGAGUAAGUUUGCUCUUCUCAUCACAUACUACCAGUUGGGGAUCUCAGGUAAUUUUAAAGAUGCUAUCACUAACUACAAAGAAGGCGCUCUAGUAUUCUGAGAGAGAGAUUCACUGCCUCUUUUUAGUAAAGAUUGACUUCACGAAUGUUUUCUUUGCUAAGAAAUGCUAAACAUUUACUUGAACUUUUCAGAUGAUUUUUAACAAAUAAAUAGGUAGGUAGAAACUGAUAUGGUAUUUGCAUUUCUUUGAUUCAGUGUCCUUAUUAUUCAUGCUAAGGAAAUACUUUGGGAACGAGCUCUGGCUGGUUCAUAUUUCAGUUAUUACAGUAGUGACAAUUUCAUUGUAAAUGUUCCCUUAGCUACCUGUUUUUUAGGUUUGCUUUCGUUUUUUACCAACUCUUUUUAAAAACUCACACUCUGGGCAGAUUUCGCUCUCUUAAGACAACACUGUCUGCCUCCGCAAGACUCAUCUGCAGGAAACUACACUCCUCACUCCGGCACUCUCUGCAUAUUUAAAGCUCCACCCCGACUCCAACCUUCUCCAGACACCUUACAUCCUUGCUCAGCACCCUGCGAGGCUCCUUAGGAAGGAGAAAACAGAUAGGAGGAAAAGAAGGCUGAAGGACCAGAGCUGGUGGGAAUCGCUGCUGGCCAGCCAAGCGCAGAGCUGAAGAA